RNAcentral lists this long non-coding RNA (1433 nucleotides) under Sorghum bicolor (sorghum). RNAcentral's name for it is "long non-coding RNA (SBIC_LNC000490)". Lineage: Eukaryota; Viridiplantae; Streptophyta; Magnoliopsida; Poales; Poaceae. The record is from RNAcentral.
CCAGCAUACCAUGCAGACAAUAGGAAGUUCUAUCACAGUGCCGUAGAACAAAGGCUCUGAAACCAUGAUAACAUGCCAUGGUAAUAGCCAACGAACUGAAACAAAAAAUAUCAUAUCUGAGGUGUGAAAUUUGCAAGUUGGUCACAUAAAGCUAGACUAUAGAGACACUUCAAAUUUCAGAUCGAGUCCAACUCUAAAUUUCAAUUUGAGGCAUAUAAUGCAUGGUCAUACAUACAGGCGCGUGCCCCCCCACCCCCCCACAUGAGGCUAAAUAAACUGGAUUCAAAAGACAGUGAAUCGAACUUUAGAAUGGGAGGCAUCAAUUCAUGACCCAUUUGUUGCAUAAAUUUUUCUGUGACAAUAGAAAAGGCCACCACAUUCAAAUCUUUUUUUUGUAACCUUGGAAAAUGGAAACACAGGAAGACCUAGGUUCAGAAGGGAUGCAUUCAUAGGACUGCUUGAAUCAUAGCUGUAAUUUCCCUUGCCAAUCUGCUGCCUUUCUUGGAGGAUGUGAAAAACAUAAUUUGAAAAGUUUAGGCAUGGUAAAACAUAUCUGAGGUGUGAAAUUUGCAAGUUGGUCACAUAAAGCUAGACUAUAGAGACACUUCAAAUUUCAGAUCGAGUCCAACUCUAAAUUUCAAUUUGAGGCAUAUAAUGCAUGGUCAUACAUACAGGCGCGUGCCCCCCCACAUGAGGCUAAAUAAACUGGAUUCAAAAGACAGUGAAUCGAACUUUAGAAUGGGAGGCAUCAAUUCAUGACCCAUUUGUUGCAUAAAUUUUUUCUGUGACAAUAGAAAAGGCCACCACAUUCAAAUCUUUUUUUUGUAACCUUGGAAAAUGGAAACACAGGAAGACAGGUUCAGAAGGGAUGCAUUCAUAGGACUGCUUGAAUCAUAGCUGUAGUUUCCCUUGCCAAUCUGCUGCCUUUCUUGAGGGAUGUGAAAAACAUAAUUUGAAAAGUUUAGGCAUGGUAAAACAGGAGGAAAUUUAUAUAUGGCGAAGUAUUUAUUGAAGUGCUCUAAGCAUCCAUGGUUCCGAGCAUUACUGCCGCCAUGUAACCUGAGGGUCGUUGAUUUGUGUAGAGAAAGGGAUAGAAAGGAUGUGGUGGCCACUUUAAAGGAUAUACGUAGGAUUAGAAAGGGAAUCAUUCAGUUAAACAUAUGUAUAUAAAGAAUUAGAUAGCAUUCGCGAGGCUAACAACUUUUGAAAACAUAAACUACUUCCCUGACAUUGAUGUUUGGUUGGUAAGAGUAAAAUUCAGUCCAAAACCAAGCACCUUACUAUGAAAAACUAUCUGUAGUACGUAAUUGCAAAGCUUGUUAUUACUACAAUGUAAUAUAAACUGUAGGCAUAGCCAAGGUUUACUUCUCUUUAAUGUCAAUGGAUGCAAACACCUUUUCACUCUUGAACAACUGAUGAUCUAAAGAAUAAUC